ACACAUGCAAGUCGAGGGGCAGCAUGGCUCUUAGCUUGCUAAGGCCGAUGGCGACCGGCGCACGGGUGAGUAACACGUAUCCAACCUGCCGUCUACUCUUGGACAGCCUUCUGAAAGGAAGAUUAAUACAAGAUGGCAUCAUGAGUCCGCAUGUUCACAUGAUUAAAGGUAUUCCGGUAGACGAUGGGGAUGCGUUCCAUUAGAUAGUAGGCGGGGUAACGGCCCACCUAGUCUUCGAUGGAUAGGGGUUCUGAGAGGAAGGUCCCCCACAUUGGAACUGAGACACGGUCCAAACUCCUACGGGAGGCAGCAGUGAGGAAUAUUGGUCAAUGGGCGAGAGCCUGAACCAGCCAAGUAGCGUGAAGGAUGACUGCCCUAUGGGUUGUAAACUUCUUUUAUAAAGGAAUAAAGUCGGGUAUGGAUACCCGUUUGCAUGUACUUUAUGAAUAAGGAUCGGCUAACUCCGUGCCAGCAGCCGCGGUAAUACGGAGGAUCCGAGCGUUAUCCGGAUUUAUUGGGUUUAAAGGGAGCGUAGAUGGAUGUUUAAGUCAGUUGUGAAAGUUUGCGGCUCAACCGUAAAAUUGCAGUUGAUACUGGAUAUCUUGAGUGCAGUUGAGGCUGGCGGAAUUCGUGGUGUAGCGGUGAAAUGCUUAGAUAUCACGAAGAACUCCGAUUGCGAAGGCAGCCUGCUAAGCUGCAACUGACAUUGAGGCUCGAAAGUGUGGGUAUCGAACAGGAUUAGAUACCCUGGUAGUCCACACGGUAAACGAUGAAUACUCGCUGUUUGCGAUAUACGGCAAGCGGCCAAGCGAAAGCGUUAAGUAUUCCACCUGGGGAGUACGCCGGCAACGGUGAAACUCAAGGGAAUUGACGGGGGCCCGCACAAGCGGAGGAACAUGUGGUUUAAUUCGAUGAUACGCGAGGAACCUUACCCGGGCUUAAAUUGCAGAUGAAUUACGGUGAAAGCCGUAAGCCGCAAGGCAUCUGUGAAGGUGCUGCAUGGUUGUCGUCAGCUCGUGCCGUGAGGUGUCGGCUUAAGUGCCAUAACGAGCGCAACCCUUGUUGUCAGUUACUAACAGGUUCUGCUGAGGACUCUGACAAGACUGCCAUCGUAAGAUGUGAGGAAGGUGGGGAUGACGUCAAAUCAGCACGGCCCUUACGUCCGGGGCUACACACGUGUUACAAUGGGGGGUACAGAGGGCCGCUACCACGCGAGUGGAUGCCAAUCCCCAAAACCUCUCUCAGUUCGGACUGGAGUCUGCAACCCGACUCCACGAAGCUGGAUUCGCUAGUAAUCGCGCAUCAGCCACGGCGCGGUGAAUACGUUCCCGGGCCUUGUACACACCGCCCGUCAAGCCAUGGGAGCUGGGGGUACCUGAAGUGCGUAACCGCGAGGAGCGCCCUAGGGUAAAACUGGUGACUGGGGCUAAGU
Molecule: ribosomal RNA, 1432 nt
Filed under: uncultured organism
Description: 16S ribosomal RNA
Rfam family: Bacterial small subunit ribosomal RNA
Source: RNAcentral